GCCGGUGUGCUAAGGCUUCAAAAUCCGCCGCUGUAACAGGCGUGCCAGUUCGAGUCUGGCCACCGGCACCA
This 71-nucleotide transfer RNA is filed under the name Vreelandella gomseomensis. RNAcentral describes it as "tRNA-OTHER". Lineage: Bacteria; Pseudomonadati; Pseudomonadota; Gammaproteobacteria; Oceanospirillales; Halomonadaceae. RNAcentral also lists the same sequence under 1 other name. The record is from RNAcentral.